This 1560-nucleotide unclassified non-coding RNA is filed under the name uncultured fungus. RNAcentral describes it as "sequence contains 18S rRNA gene, ITS1, 5.8S rRNA gene, ITS2, 28S rRNA gene". The stretch from base 619 to 1560 matches the Rfam family "Eukaryotic large subunit ribosomal RNA", at positions 1 to 961 of the family's 3401-position model. The record is from RNAcentral. Lineage: Eukaryota; Fungi.
GGAAGGAUCAUUACCAAAUAUGCUUGCUUGGAUGGAGCAAUCCGUUCUGCAACGAAACCCCCUUCUGUGUAUCUGUUCAAUGUUGCUUUCACUGGCCCGCGGGUUAUCCAUUCCAUGAGAGUGGAAUGGAAAUUAAUCCCCUCUGGUGCCUGAUCGAAAUUGAUCGGCUGGAGAGCUGCCGGUGAGAGUCAUGCUUCAAACUCUGUGGUAUUACCAUGCAUGAGCAAUGUCUGAGCUUUAAUGCUAAAAAAUAAACUUGUUAAAACUUUCAACAACGGAUCUCUUGGUUCUCGCAUCGAUGAAGAACGCAGCGAAAUGCGAUAAGUAGUGUGAAUUGCAGAAUUCAGUGAAUCAUCGAAUCUUUGAACGCACAUUGCGCCUUCUGGCAUUCCGGGAGGCAUGCCUGUCCGAACGUCAUUAAGCCCCUCAUCCGGAGCAGUUUACAUACUGCUUGCUGGAUGGUACUUGGAGGAUGAUUGAUUGCUAUGCAUCCGGUCACCUCUGAAAUAUACUGGUUGACUGUCUGGUCUGUAAUUGUGAUAAGCAUUCUACAAUAGCAGAUCUGAUAGGAGUCUUUCCGUCAAUCUGGUGCUCUCCACUGCACUGUGAACCAUCUUUUGACUUCGGAUCAGGUAGGGAUACCCGCUGAACUUAAGCAUAUCAAUAAGCGGAGGAAAAGAAACCAACAGGGAUUGCCUUAGUAACUGCGAGUGAAGCGGCAAGAGCUCAAAUUUGAAAUCUGGCACCUUCGGUGUCCGAAUUGUAAUUUGGAGAGAUGACUUCGGUGCUGUUGGCCGUUCCAAGUUCCUUGGAACAGGACGUCACAGAGGGUGAGAAUCCCGUGUCUGGGCGGUUGGCAUGCUCCAUGUGAAGUCUCUUCGACGAGUCGAGUUGUUUGGGAAUGCAGCUCAAAAUGGGUGGUAAAUUUCAUCUAAAGCUAAAUAUUGGCGAGAGACCGAUAGCGCACAAGUAGAGUGAUCGAAAGAUGAAAAGCACUUUGAAAAGAGAGUUAAAAAGUACGUGAAAUUGUUGAAAGGGAAGCGCUUGAGAUCAGACUCGACCGUUGGUGAUCAGCAGUCCUUCUGGGCUGUGCACUGGCCGACGGUUGGACCAGCAUCGGUUGCCGCGGCAGGAGAAAGGUUGGGGGAAUGUGGCCGACUUGUCGGUGUUAUAGCCCCUGGCGCAAUGCUGCCUGCAGCGACCGAGGUCCGCGCAUCUGCUAGGAUGCUGGUAAAAUGGUCUUCAGCGACCCGUCUUGAAACACGGACCAAGGAGUCUAACAUCUAUGCGAGUGUUUGGGUGGAAAACCCUUGCGCGUAAUGAAAGUGAACGUAGGUGGGACCUCGCAAGAGUGCACCAUCGACCGAUCCUGAUGUCUUCGGAUGGAUUUGAGUAAGAGCAUAGCUGUUGGGACCCGAAAGAUGGUGAACUAUGCCUGAAUAGGGUGAAGCCAGAGGAAACUCUGGUGGAGGCUCGCAGCGGUUCUGACGUGCAAAUCGAUCGUCAAAUUUGGGUAUAGGGGCGAAAGACUAAUCGAACCAUCUAGUAGCUGGUUCCUGC